CGUCCAGACUCCUACGGGAGGCAGCAGUGGGGAAUAUUGCACAAUGGGCGCAAGCCUGAUGCAGCGACGCCGCGUGCGGGAUGGAGGCCUUCGGGUUGUAAACCGCUUUUGUUCAAGGGCAAGGCACGGUCUUUGGCCGUGUUGAGUGGAUUGUUCGAAUAAGCACCGGCUAACUACGUGCCAGCAGCCGCGGUAAUACGUAGGGUGCAAGCGUUAUCCGGAUUUAUUGGGUUUAAAGGGUGCGCAGGCGGCACGGCAAGCCGGCGGUCAAAUCGCGGGGCUCAACCCCGCCCAGCCGUCGGAACUGCCGGGCUAGAGUGGGCGAGAAGUGCGCGGAAUGCGUGGUGUAGCGGUGAAAUGCAUAGAUAUCACGCAGAACCCCGAUUGCGAAGGCAGCAUGCCGGCUCCACACUGACGCUGAGGCACGAAAGCGUGGGUAUCGAACAGGAUUAGAUACCCGGGUA
RNAcentral lists this ribosomal RNA (464 nucleotides) under uncultured bacterium. RNAcentral's name for it is "bacterial SSU rRNA". It matches the Rfam family "Bacterial small subunit ribosomal RNA", at positions 328 to 792 of the family's 1533-position model. The record is from RNAcentral.